This 781-nucleotide ribosomal RNA is filed under the name uncultured bacterium. Its description in RNAcentral is "bacterial SSU rRNA". It matches the Rfam family "Bacterial small subunit ribosomal RNA", at positions 57 to 841 of the family's 1533-position model. The record is from RNAcentral.
GCAGUCGACGGUACAGGUCUUCGGAUGCUGACGAGUGGCGAACGGGUGAGUAAUAUAUCGGAACGUGCCCAGUCGUGGGGGAUAACGUAGCGAAAGUUACGCUAAUACCGCAUACGAUCUAAGGAUGAAAGCGGGGGAUCGCAAGACCUCGCGCGAUUGGAGCGGCCGAUAUCAGAUUAGGUAGUUGGUGGGGUAAAGGCUCACCAAGCCAACGAUCUGUAGCUGGUCUGAGAGGACGACCAGCCACACUGGAACUGAGACACGGUCCAGACUCCUACGGGAGGCAGCAGUGGGGAAUUUUGGACAAUGGACGCAAGUCUGAUCCAGCCAUUCCGCGUGCAGGAUGAAGGCCCUCGGGUUGUAAACUGCUUUUGUACGGAACGAAAAGGUCUCUCCUAAUACGAGGGGCUCAUGACGGUACCGUAAGAAUAAGCACCGGCUAACUACGUGCCAGCAGCCGCGGUAAUACGUAGGGUGCAAGCGUUAAUCGGAAUUACUGGGCGUAAAGCGUGCGCAGGCGGUUAUAUAAGACAGAUGUGAAAUCCCCGGGCUCAACCUGGGAACUGCAUUUGUGACUGUAUAGCUAGAGUACGGUAGAGGGGGAUGGAAUUCCGCGUGUAGCAGUGAAAUGCGUAGAUAUGCGGAGGAACACCGAUGGCGAAGGCAAUCCCCUGGACCUGUACUGACGCUCAUGCACGAAAGCGUGGGGAGCAAACAGGAUUAGAUACCCUGGUAGUCCACGCCCUAACGAUGUCAACUGGUUUGUGGGUCUCACUGACUC